AGAGUUGGCCGGGCAGUCGCCCGGGUAUAUACUUUUAUCUGCGAUUUUGCUUUUAAAGGUAAGCCCGGGAGGAAAGUCCGAGCUUUACAGGGCAGGGUGCCGGGUAACACCCGGCGGAGGCUUAUGUAAAUGCGCCUUCAGCGAAAGUGCAGCAGAAAAUAUACCGCCUGUCUUUAAUAUAUAAUUAUUUUACAGGCAGGUAAGGGUGAAAUGGCGAGUUAAGAGCUCACCGGCAGCCUGGCAACAGGCUGGCCUUGAAAACCGCACCCGAAGCAAGGCCAAAUAGGGAAGAAAUGGAGUUGCCCGCUCUUCUUCCGGGUAAGGCCGCUUGAGAUAAAUAGCAAUAUUUAUCCCAGAUGGAUGACUGCCGCUGGUAUCCGGUAAUUUAUUUGCCGGCCAUCAGAACAGGACUCGGCUUACAGGCCAGCUCUAAUU
This 435-nucleotide RNase P RNA is filed under the name Actinomycetota bacterium. RNAcentral's name for it is "Actinobacteria bacterium (freshwater metagenome) RNase P RNA component class A". It matches the Rfam family "Bacterial RNase P class A". Rfam says of the family: Ribonuclease P (RNase P) is a ubiquitous endoribonuclease, found in archaea, bacteria and eukarya as well as chloroplasts and mitochondria. Lineage: Bacteria; Bacillati; Actinomycetota. The record is from RNAcentral.